CUUGCGCAAUGGGCGAAAGCCUGACGCAGCAACGCCGCGUGCGGGAAGAAGGCCUUCGGGUUGUAAACCGCUUUCAGCAGGAACGAAAAUGACGGUACCUGCAGAAGAAGGUGCGGCCAACUACGUGCCAGCAGCCGCGGUGACACGUAGGCACCAAGCGUUGUCCGGAUUUAUUGGGCGUAAAGAGCUCGUAGGCGGUUCAGUAAGUCGGGUGUGAAAACUCUGGGCUUAACCCAGAGCCGCCACCCGAUACUGCUGUGACUAGAGUCCGGUAGGGGAGUGGGGAAUUCCUAGUGUAGCGGUGAAAUGCGCAGAUAUUAGGAGGAACACCGGUGGCGAAGGCGCCACUCUGGGCCGGAACUGACGCUGAGGAGCGAAAGCGUGGGUAGCAAACAGGAUUAGAUACCCUGGUAGUCCACGCCGUAAACGUUGGGCACUAGGUGUGGGCCUCAACCAACGAGGUCCGUGCCGUCGCUAACGCAUUAAGUGCCCCGCCUGGGGAGUACGGCCGCAAGGCUA
Molecule: ribosomal RNA, 519 nt
Filed under: uncultured Actinomycetes bacterium
Lineage: Bacteria; Bacillati; Actinomycetota; Actinomycetes
Description: bacterial SSU rRNA
Rfam family: Bacterial small subunit ribosomal RNA
Source: RNAcentral